GGAGCUAGCUGUCUGUUGGGAUAGAUGGGAGGAAUCUAAGAAGCCAAACAAAGUGGUGGAGGAGGUGGCCAUGAGAAGCCCUGAUCAUGCUUUUUGAAUGCUAUCUUUGCCAGUGGUGUAGACCAUACAUAGAUUUCAAUCGGUGAGUCAACCUAGCUAGUCUUGUGUAAAAUACUUCUUGUUGCUGAUUACUGUGUAUUUAGGGGCUGCUGCUUGCUGUGAGGUGCACUGAGGCAACACAAAGUCUUUUGAGCUCCUUGGAGAAAAUUCACCAUGGAAGUGCAAAUUACCACCAUUGUACCAUGGGCAUGAGACUUGCAUCAGCUUACAAGGACGGCUGGAGUAUCAAAGAAAAGCAGCCGAAACUGUCCAGUCUCAAUCCAGGUCCCGUGCUCAAUGCAGCGGGGGUGGCACACGCGCUGGUCACAAGCUGCGCCUGUCCAGCCCUCUUCACAGCGGCAGGCUCCCCCGAUGCAGACGCCGUGAGUGCCACAGUCUACUGAGCACACUUCUGGAAGAAAAACAAUGAUUACAGCUCAACACCACAGCGGGGUGAAGUCCUUCAAGGAAGCCAGACCACACACAUGGCUCCAGAGCAGGCCGAUGCUUAGCAGCCAUAGCAGAUCACAGACCCAAUGGCUUAAGAGACGAGAGUGAGAAAGGUACCAUAAGAUUGACCAAAGUCCCUCUUAUCCCAAGCAUAAAGACAAGAUUUCCAUCCAGCUAGAAGGUGAUGGAACACCAGGUUUGAGUGUGGGAAAGUGAGGAGACGAUCUCUUGACUUACCAACGGAGCAGUCGGGACCCAUCCAGUUCGGAUCACAGCUGCAGAGGCCAGAGUCGGGGAGGGCUGCAUAGACACUCUCCAUUCACACAGACACCAUGGCUGGAGCAGGUGGGAUCCAAGCAGUCAACUGGAACAAGAGAAGAAACACUAAUCGGUCAUGAAGAAUGGGCCACUAAGACCCGGACCCCUACCCCAACACACAAGCAAAUAAAGGUGCUUACACAUUACUCAUGUGGCUGUCUCUCUUGACAGCCACAAAAAAAGGAAUUUUAUAUGUUAGAGUACCAAAUCCCAAAAUGUAAAGAAGACACGAGAGACACAAGGGAAUUCCUCAGGCGCAGUCAGCAAGAGUCAGCCGUAGCUUCUUCACAGAUGGAAAGGUAACGGCGUCACACUUUUCCAAAGCUAUGCUUUCCAACCUUCAGCCUUGACUGCUCCACAGCAGGAUCAGGAAAGACAUGUGGUGCAUUCUGCAUGUAUGGCGAAGCCUGAUUACCCUCGCUCAAAGAGAAAGC
Molecule: long non-coding RNA, 1301 nt
Organism: Mesocricetus auratus (golden hamster)
Lineage: Eukaryota; Metazoa; Chordata; Mammalia; Rodentia; Cricetidae
Exons: 4
Source: RefSeq, a predicted model, not a curated record